UCAGACGAUGCGUCAUGCAUAUCAAUAAGCGGAGGAAAAGAAACUAACAAGGAUUCCCUUAGUAACGGCGAGUGAAGCGGGAAGAGCUCAAAUUUGAAAUCUUCAAGGUUUUACCUUGACGAAUUGUAGUUUAAAGAAGUGUUUUCUGUUGUAGUUUUGGUAAAAGUUCUUUGGAAUAGGACAUCAUAGAGGGUGAGAAUCCCGUAUUUGACCAUUAUUUUCAGCUGUGUGAUACACUUUCAAAGAGUCGGGAUUGUUUGGGAAUGCAGUCCAAAAUGGGUGGUAAAUCUCACCUAAAGCUAAAUAUUUGCGAGAGACCGAUAGCGAACAAGUACCGUGAGGGAAAGAUGAAAAGGACUUUGAAAAGAGAGUUAAACAGUACGUGAAAUUGUCAAAAGGGAAGCGUUUGACACCAGUGUUGUUUUCUCGAAAAUCAAUUAAAAAGAGUUUGAUUUUGUUGUGUAUUGACCUUAACAGCUUGCAUUUCAAUUUUCUUGCUUUUUUUAAUGCACUUUUCGUUUAACAAGUCAACAUCAGUUUCUUUUGUUGUAAAAAGGUCAUUGGAAGGUGGCUUUCUUUUCGGAGAAAGUGUUUAUAGCCUUUGACUCCUGCAAUCGGAGAGACUGAGGUCUGCAGCGUAGAUCCUUCGGGGUUAGAUACAUUUGUGCUAAGUUAUAGCUUUUUAUAGACAACUUGUUGACUAUGAUUAGUCUUGUAGCUUACUCGCUUAUGCUAUUUUACCUACGCUUAGGAUGUUGAGUCGUAGAGCACGCAG
This 775-nucleotide ribosomal RNA is filed under the name uncultured Neocallimastigales. RNAcentral describes it as "partial large subunit ribosomal RNA". It matches the Rfam family "Eukaryotic large subunit ribosomal RNA", at positions 18 to 622 of the family's 3401-position model. Lineage: Eukaryota; Fungi; Neocallimastigomycota; Neocallimastigomycetes; Neocallimastigales. The record is from RNAcentral.